AGGCUUGUAUGAUGCUAUGUUUUGGAUUUUUGAUUAAAAUAAUGGUGAUAACAUGCUGAUAUUUUACUUGUUGCAGAGAAGUGCUCACAUAGAGCCAAGGACUUUUCAGCUGCUGGCACUGCCCUGCCAGUGAGAAGGCUGAGAGUGCACUGGGAGCUGGGAGGGGACACAGCUAGGACAGCCACCUAUAGAAAGCUGAUGCUGGAGAAGGCUCCUGGCAGCAACUGUAGCCCAUGAUGAGGAACCCAUGGAGGAGCAGGAAAGGGAUCGACUCUUGCUAAGGAUCCAGUGAUACCCUAUUUUUCUGAAGAGCUCGUAGAGUUACCUUACUAUCAAAGUCCAUAUAUCGAUAUAACUGUGAACAUGGAUACAUUGCAUACCACAGAGAAUGAAUUAAUAAAGAUAUUACUUAGAAGUUAUGGCUAACA
RNAcentral lists this long non-coding RNA (428 nucleotides) under Anas platyrhynchos platyrhynchos (common mallard). Its description in RNAcentral is "lncRNA (ENSAPLG00000023242.1)". Lineage: Eukaryota; Metazoa; Chordata; Aves; Anseriformes; Anatidae. The record is from RNAcentral.